AUACGAAGGUCCCAAGCGUUAUUCGGAAUCACUGGGCGUAAAGAGUACGUAGGCGGUUUGGUAAGUCAGGUGUGAAAUCCCGAAGCUCAACUUCGGAACUGCAUCCGAUACUGCCAGACUAGAGUAAUGGAGAGGCAGGUGGAAUUCUCGGUGUAGCAGUGAAAUGCGUGGAUAUCGAGAGGAAGACCAAUGGCGAAGGCAGCCUGCUGGACAUUUACUGACGCUAAGGUACGAAGGCUAGGGGAGCGAAAGGAAUUAGAUACCCCAGUAGUCC
Molecule: ribosomal RNA, 274 nt
Filed under: uncultured bacterium
Lineage: Bacteria
Description: partial 16S ribosomal RNA
Rfam family: Bacterial small subunit ribosomal RNA
Source: RNAcentral